This 385-nucleotide ribosomal RNA is filed under the name uncultured bacterium. Its description in RNAcentral is "bacterial SSU rRNA". It matches the Rfam family "Bacterial small subunit ribosomal RNA", at positions 29 to 415 of the family's 1533-position model. The record is from RNAcentral.
AUUGAACGCUGGCGGCAUGCUUUACACAUGCAAGUCGAGCGGCAGCGCGGGGGCAACCCUGGCGGCGAGCGGCGAACGGGUGAGUAACGCAUCGGAACGUAUCCUCUUGUGGGGGAUAACCCACCGAAAGGUGGGCUAAUACCGCAUAAGCUCUGAGGAGGAAAGCGGGGGACCGAAAGGCCUCGCGCAGGAGGAGCGGCCGAUGUCCGAUUAGCUAGUUGGUGGGGUAAAGGCCCACCAAGGCGACGAUCGGUAGCUGGUCUGAGAGGAUGAUCAGCCACACUGGGACUGAGACACGGCCCAGACUCCUACGGGAGGCAGCAGUGGGGAAUUUUGGACAAUGGGGGCAACCCUGAUCCAGCCAUGCCGCGUGAGUGAAGAAGGC